This 806-nucleotide ribosomal RNA is filed under the name uncultured bacterium. Its description in RNAcentral is "bacterial SSU rRNA". It matches the Rfam family "Bacterial small subunit ribosomal RNA", at positions 8 to 796 of the family's 1533-position model. The record is from RNAcentral.
AGAGUUUGAUCAUGGCUCAGAACGAACGCUGGCGGCGUGCCUAACACAUGCAAGUCGAGCGCGAAUGGAGCAAUCCUAGUAGAGCGGCGCACGGGUGAGUAACACGUGGGUAAUCUGCCUGAAAGCCCGGGACAACCUGCCGAAAGGCUGGCUAAUACCGGAUAAGCCCACAGGGUCUUCGGACCCCGAGGGAAAAGAUGGCCUCUGCAUGCAAGCUAUCACUUCCAGAUGAGCCCGCGACCCAUCAGCUAGUUGGCGGGGUAAUGGCCCACCAAGGCAACGACGGGUAGCUGGUCUGAGAGGACGAUCAGCCACACUGGAACUGAGACACGGUCCAGACUCCUACGGGAGGCAGCAGUGGGGAAUUUUGCGCAAUGGGCGAAAGCCUGACGCAGCAACGCCGCGUGUGUGAUGAAGGUCUUCGGAUCGUAAAGCACUUUCGACUGGGACGAAAACCCGCUGGCUAACAUCCAGCGGCCUGACGGUACCGGGAGAAGAAGCACCGGCUAACUCUGUGCCAGCAGCCGCGGUAAUACAGAGGGUGCAAGCGUUGUUCGGAAUUAUUGGGCGUAAAGCGCGUGUAGGCGGCUUUGCAAGUCGGGUGUGAAAGCCCUCGGCUCAACCGAGGAAGUGCGCCCGAAACUGCAUGGCUCGAGUCCCGGAGAGGAUGGCGGAAUUCCCGAAGUAGAGGUGAAAUUCGUAGAUAUCGGGAGGAACACCGGUGGCGAAGGCGGCCAUCUGGACGGACACUGACGCUGAGACGCGAAAGCGUGGGUAGCAAACAGGAUUAGAUACCCUAGUAGUCC